RNAcentral lists this ribosomal RNA (481 nucleotides) under uncultured bacterium. RNAcentral's name for it is "bacterial SSU rRNA". It matches the Rfam family "Bacterial small subunit ribosomal RNA", at positions 28 to 507 of the family's 1533-position model. The record is from RNAcentral.
GACGAACGUUGGCGGCGUGCUUAAUACAUGCAAGUCAACUGAAGCACCGGUAGUAAUACUGGUGUGGAGGUGGCGCACGGGUGAGUAACACGUAGGUAAUCUGCCUUCAGGUCUGACAUAACCCCGAGAAAUCGGGGCUAAUAGCAGAUGAUGCAGCGGCUUGACAUCAAAGACAGUUGUUAAAGCUUCGGCGCCUGAAGAUGAGCCUGCGUCUGAUUAGCUAGUUGGCGGAGUAAUAGCCCACCAAGGCGACGAUCAGUAGCUGGUCUGAGAGGAUGAUCAGCCACACUGGAACUGAGACACGGUCCAGACUCCUACGGGAGGCAGCAGUAAGGAAUAUUGCUCAAUGGGAGAAAUCCUGAAGCAGCAACGCCGCGUGAGGGAUGAAGGGCUUUUGCUCGUAAACCUCUGUAGUGAGGGAAAAAUUUCCAUUCUAUGGAAUAUGAUGGUACCUCAAAGUAAGACCCCGGCUAACUACGUG